This is a small nucleolar RNA of Protobothrops mucrosquamatus (brown spotted pit viper), 72 nucleotides long. The record is from RefSeq and is a predicted model, not a curated record. Lineage: Eukaryota; Metazoa; Chordata; Lepidosauria; Squamata; Viperidae.
UGGGCGUGAUGAGAGCUCCGAGCCUGACCAACCUUUCGGUGGAGGCCAAAGCUGAUUUAAUGAGCCUGAUCC